This 253-nucleotide ribosomal RNA is filed under the name uncultured bacterium. RNAcentral's name for it is "partial 16S ribosomal RNA". It matches the Rfam family "Bacterial small subunit ribosomal RNA", at positions 524 to 776 of the family's 1533-position model. The record is from RNAcentral.
UACGAGGGGGGCAAGCGUUGUUCGGAAUUAUUGGGCGUAAAGGGUGCGUAGGCGGUCUGAUAAGUCGGAUGUGAAAUCUAUGGGCUCAACCCAUAGUCUGCAUCGGAAACUGUCGGGCUUGAGUAUGGGAGAGGUGAGUGGAAUUUCCGGUGUAGCGGUGAAAUGCGUAGAUAUCGGAAGGAACACCUGUGGCGAAAGCGGCUCACUGGACCACAACUGACGCUGAGGCGCGAAAGCUAGGGGAGCAAACAGG